Molecule: long non-coding RNA, 580 nt
Filed under: Brachypodium distachyon (stiff brome)
Lineage: Eukaryota; Viridiplantae; Streptophyta; Magnoliopsida; Poales; Poaceae
Description: long non-coding RNA (BDIS_LNC001077)
Source: RNAcentral
CCCACAUCAGCUCGUGUGCUCAAGCCUUCAGAAUCAACGAGCUUGCGGGCUCGGAGGAGUCAGUCAAACGGAAUGGCGAGCUGAGAUUAGCCCGUCUGGCCCAUUCGGCCUAACCCACCAUUCAUUCUGAGGAGGGCGAGUGCCCAAGAUCCCCCAACACAGCGAAGUCUCGUCUCGCGCGGCCGAAAAAUCGACAGCGCGAGCGAGCGCCGCCUCCGGCCCCAGGCGACGGCUGUAGCUUUUGUCGUUUUCGUUUGUAUCCGACCACCUCGCGUCCGGCGCUCUGCCAGACCGCCUUGUCACCAGCAACCCCCACCCUUCCUCUUGUGGCCAUGGGCGAAGGACAAAAAUAUGUUGAGGUAUGGCAAAUUUGUAUAACGGACAAAUAACAUUCAAUAUUUAUUUUAUGAUUGCAAAAUGUAUUUUAAUGUGUUUGGUUUGUAUUUUUUUUAUACUUCUUUAUAAUGUUUUGUUUUUAACAUUCCAUUUUUCAAUGGGUUUAAUGCAAAUAUAAUGUCACAUCGCAUACAAUUAUAAACUGUCACUACGCCAGAAUGGGUCAUUGGCGCACGAGCUCCAG